This is a long non-coding RNA of Melitaea cinxia (Glanville fritillary), 114 nucleotides long. RefSeq lists it as uncharacterized. The transcript is spliced from 3 exons. Lineage: Eukaryota; Metazoa; Arthropoda; Insecta; Lepidoptera; Nymphalidae. The record is from RefSeq and is a predicted model, not a curated record.
UCCCUGUUUUUAACAGAUUAAAAAUGACUAUUGUUAUGUUCACUUUUUGUGGCAUAGAAUGUCACUUUUUUGAACAAGUGGUACGAAAAACUUAUUAUAACUUUUAAGAUUAAG